Molecule: long non-coding RNA, 363 nt
Organism: Chlorocebus sabaeus (green monkey)
Lineage: Eukaryota; Metazoa; Chordata; Mammalia; Primates; Cercopithecidae
Source: RefSeq, a predicted model, not a curated record
CUAACAAUGAAUUGUUCCAAUUCACAUAAGAAAUUUGAUAAGGUCUUUUGUUGUUUUUAUUAUUUUAAAGAUAAAUAUUCAUCUUUUUUCCAGAAUCAGAAUGUUGUUAGGAAUUGUGGGAAGAUGACUGUAUGCUGUGGUCAGAUACAAAGAGCUCAGUGUACACCAGGCAACAGCUCUAGUUUAUAAUUCCAUGGGACUCUUGCUUGUCCCUGGUGAAAGUAUAGUCCUUUGGAGACCAAGACAAUGAACGCUGCAGAGUCUACAAUUGUGGAGACAAGAUGCACAAAGUUCCCAAUUGGUUAAUGGGGGUGAUGAUUCUCGGUCUGUUGCCCAGGCUGGAAUGCAGUGGCGCGAUCUUGG